GAUGAACGCUGGCGGCGUGCCUAAUACAUGCAAGUCGAGCGAACAGACGAGGAGCUUGCUCCUCUGACGUUAGCGGCGGACGGGUGAGUAACACGUGGAUAACCUACCUAUAAGACUGGGAUAACUUCGGGAAACCGGAGCUAACACCGGAUAAUAUAUUGAACCGCAUGGUUCAAUAGUGAAAGACGGUUUUGCUGUCUCUUAUAGAUGGAUCCGCGCCGCAUUAGAUAGUUGGUAAGCUACCGGCUUAUCAAGGCAACGAUGCGUAGCCGACCGGAGAGAGUGAUCGGCCACACUGGAACGGAGACGCGGUCCAGAGUCCUACGGGACGGAGCAGUAGGGAAUCGUACGCAAUAGGCGGAAGCCUGGCAGAGCAACGCCGCGUGAGUGAUAGAGGUCUUCGGAUCGUAAAACUCUGUUAUGGGGGAAGAACAAAUGUGGAAGUAAAUAUGCACGUAUUGACGGUACCGGAUCAGAAAGCAACGGCUAACUACGUG
Molecule: ribosomal RNA, 497 nt
Filed under: uncultured bacterium
Lineage: Bacteria
Description: partial 16S ribosomal RNA
Rfam family: Bacterial small subunit ribosomal RNA
Source: RNAcentral